Chlorocebus sabaeus (green monkey) is the source of this 112-nucleotide unclassified non-coding RNA. It matches the Rfam family "Y RNA". Rfam says of the family: Y RNAs are components of the Ro ribonucleoprotein particle (Ro RNP), in association with Ro60 and La proteins. The Y RNAs and Ro60 and La proteins are well conserved, but the function of the Ro RNP is not known. The record is from Ensembl. NCBI's taxonomy places the organism in Eukaryota, Metazoa, Chordata, Mammalia, Primates, Cercopithecidae.
GGCUGGUCUGAGGGUAACGAGUUAUUUCAAUUCAUUGUUCACAGUCAGUGACAGAUAAAACUCCUUGUUCUACUCUUUCCCUGCUUCUCACUACUGGACAUGACUAGUAAAA